This 496-nucleotide ribosomal RNA is filed under the name uncultured bacterium. Its description in RNAcentral is "bacterial SSU rRNA". It matches the Rfam family "Bacterial small subunit ribosomal RNA", at positions 28 to 526 of the family's 1533-position model. The record is from RNAcentral.
AAUGAACGUUGGCGGCGUGGAUUAGGCAUGCAAGUCGAGCGAGAAGGAUCCUUUGCUUGCAUUGGAUCUGGAAAGCGGCGAAAGGGAGAGUAACGCGUAGGGUAUCUGCCCCCAGGCCUGGGAUAGCGGCGGGAAACUGCCGGUAAUACCGGAUAAUGUCCCUGGACCAAAGGUGUGAUUCCGCCUGGGGAUGGCCCUGCGUCCUAUUAGCUUGUUGGUGAGGUAACGGCUCACCAAGGCAAAGAUGGGUAGCGGGCGUGAGAGCGUGGCCCGUCUCACUGGGACUGAGACACUGCCCAGACACCUACGGGUGGCUGCAGUCGAGAAUCUUCCGCAAUGGACGCAAGUCUGACGGAGCGACGCCGCGUGCGGGAUGAAGGCCUUCGGGUUGUAAACCGCUGUCAGUGGGGUGGAAAUCUUUGAGGGUUAUCCCUCUUAGUUGACCUAACCGCAGAGGAAGUCCGGGCUAAGUACGUGCCAGCCGCCGCCGUAACAC